UACGUAGGGUGCAAGCGUUAAUCGGAAUUACUGGGCGUAAAGCGUGCGCAGGCGGUUUUGUAAGUCUGACGUGAAAUCCCCGGGCUCAACCUGGGAAUUGCGUUGGAGACUGCAAGGCUAGAAUCUGGCAGAGGGGGGUAGAAUUCCGCGUGUAGCAGUGAAAUGCGUAGAGAUGUGGAGGAACACCGAUGGCGAAGGCAGCCCCCUGGGUCAAGAUUGACGCUCAUGCACGAAAGCGUGGGGAGCAAACAAG
This 253-nucleotide ribosomal RNA is filed under the name uncultured bacterium. RNAcentral's name for it is "partial 16S ribosomal RNA". It matches the Rfam family "Bacterial small subunit ribosomal RNA", at positions 524 to 776 of the family's 1533-position model. The record is from RNAcentral.